UAAAUAAACAUGUGCUGUUUAACUUAGAUCGGUGUUCAUGGUACCUGAAUAUGACAGCAAGAAAGAAAGUGAAAAUAGGGAUAAGAUUUGCUAAAGCUGAAGAGAGAGUAGGUGAGCUGAAUUUGACUCCAGUAAGAUACACCAUCUGCCC
This is a long non-coding RNA of Hibiscus syriacus, 151 nucleotides long. RefSeq lists it as uncharacterized. NCBI's taxonomy places the organism in Eukaryota, Viridiplantae, Streptophyta, Magnoliopsida, Malvales, Malvaceae. The transcript has 3 exons. The record is from RefSeq and is a predicted model, not a curated record.